GGUUAAGCGACUAAGCGUACACGGUGGAUGCCCUGGCAGUCAGAGGCGAUGAAGGACGUGCUAAUCUGCGAAAAGCGCCGGCGAGGUGAUAUGAACCCUUGACCCGGCGAUGUCCGAAUGGGGAAACCCAGUGUGAUUCGUCACACUAUCGUUAACUGAAUACAUAGGUUAACGAGGCGAACCGGGGGAACUGAAACAUCUAAGUACCCCGAGGAAAAGAAAUCAACCGAGAUUCCCCCAGUAGCGGCGAGCGAACGGGGAGCAGCCCAGAGCCUGAAUCAGUGUGUGUGUUAGUGGAAGCGUCUGGAAAGGCGCGCGAUACAGGGUGACAGCCCCGUACACAAAAAUGCACAUGCUGUGAGCUCGAUGAGUAGGGCGGGACACGUGGUAUCCUGUCUGAAUAUGGGGGGACCAUCCUCCAAGGCUAAAUACUCCUGACUGACCGAUAGUGAACCAGUACCGUGAGGGAAAGGUGAAAAGAACCA
Molecule: ribosomal RNA, 485 nt
Filed under: Enterobacter cloacae subsp. dissolvens
Lineage: Bacteria; Pseudomonadati; Pseudomonadota; Gammaproteobacteria; Enterobacterales; Enterobacteriaceae
Description: bacterial LSU rRNA
Rfam family: Bacterial large subunit ribosomal RNA
Source: RNAcentral